RNAcentral lists this ribosomal RNA (531 nucleotides) under Triticum aestivum (bread wheat). Its description in RNAcentral is "partial small subunit ribosomal RNA". Lineage: Eukaryota; Viridiplantae; Streptophyta; Magnoliopsida; Poales; Poaceae. The record is from RNAcentral.
AUGGAGAAUUGUCUUCAACAUAUUAUGUUGUAUGUGCUACUUCUCGCUAAUGUAAUUACAGGAAGAUCUUCCCCUACAGAGCAAGGAAACUCAUCAAUGCCAUGGCCCUCUGUUCUUCGUCCAGUGAUUUUCCAUACUAGUGAAAAUUUUGCCUCAGAUCAAAAUUCAGUAAUCUCUUAUAUCACGAGUCAUGUGUGGACUCCUCGAGGUGGUGCCGAGAACUAUUAUGGCAUUGAGGCUACAAUUGAUGUAUAUGGAUUUCAUUUACAACCCGGCCAAUUAAGUGCAGCUGGAAUUUGGAUUAUCAACAGAGGAGAUGGAAAACCAUCUUCAGCUAGUGGAUUUCAAGUUGGAUGGAGUAUUUUUCCGAGGUUCUACAAAGAUUCACAUACCCAUUUCUACACAUCUUGGACUAGUGGUGGAUCGCCCGCGAAGGGUUGCAGUGACAUGAUUUGUCCCGGCUUUCAAAAGACAUCAUCGAGUAUAGCUCCGGGAAGUAUCAUUAAUCCAGUUUCAGAUAUCCGGGGAUGA